Molecule: non-coding RNA, 32 nt
Filed under: Homo sapiens (human)
Lineage: Eukaryota; Metazoa; Chordata; Mammalia; Primates; Hominidae
Source: RNAcentral
UCCAAAUAACUCACAAGGUAUAAGGCAUGUGC